AUUAGGGGCAUUUUCAAAGGAGAGUUAAAAUCAGCUUUUCACCCGGGGGAGGGCUGGUUCCCCAGGCAAAUCCUAGGUCUUGUAGGGUUGAAGAAUUUGUAUGGAGUGUGUCAUUGCAGAUAAUAUGCUGUUAGCAUACUAGAGUGGUAUUUAGCCGGUCCUUCACGAAAUCAUCCCCUUUGGAUAUCAGAAAAAUCCCAUUUAAGGCUAUCCGUAUUACAGGUAGAUUCUUAACACACUCAACGUUGCGCUUCAAUUAUUUAACCUCUGGCUAUAGGAAAUUGUUAGUGGCAGACGGGUGAGUAAUGCGUAGGAAUCUACCUAGUAGUACGGAAUAGCCAUUAGAAAUGGUGGGUAAUACUGUAUAAUCCCCGAGGGGGAAAGAUUUAUCGCUAUUAGAUGAGCCUACGUUAGAUUAGCUAGUUGGUGAGGUAAUGGCUUACCAAGGCUAUGAUCUAUAGCUGGUCUGAGAGGACGAUCAGCCACACUGGAACUGAGAUACGGUCCAGACUCCUACGGGAGGCAGCAGUGGGGAAUAUUGGACAAUGGGCGAAAGCCUGAUCCAGCUAUGCCGCGUGAGUGAAGAAGGCAUCGGGUGUCACUAACGG
Molecule: ribosomal RNA, 608 nt
Filed under: Ehrlichia canis
Lineage: Bacteria; Pseudomonadati; Pseudomonadota; Alphaproteobacteria; Rickettsiales; Anaplasmataceae
Description: bacterial SSU rRNA
Rfam family: Bacterial small subunit ribosomal RNA (bases 185-608)
Source: RNAcentral